Molecule: ribosomal RNA, 666 nt
Filed under: Trichodes favarius
Lineage: Eukaryota; Metazoa; Arthropoda; Insecta; Coleoptera; Cleridae
Description: eukaryotic LSU rRNA
Rfam family: Eukaryotic large subunit ribosomal RNA
Source: RNAcentral
CUUGAAACACGGACCAAGGAGUCUAGCAUGUGCGCGAGUCAUUGGGAAUAACUAAACCUAAAGGCGCAAUGAAAGUGAAGGUUCGCCUUGCGCGGACCGAGGGAAGAUGGGCGUGCGCGCUUGCGUGCCGCUCCGCACUCCCGGGGCGUCUCGUUCUCAUUGCGAGAAGAGGCGCACCAAGAGCGUACACGCUGGGACCCGAAAGAUGGUGAACUAUGCCUGGUCAGGACGAAGUCAGGGGAAACCCUGAUGGAGGUCCGUAGCGAUUCUGACGUGCAAAUCGAUCGUCGGAACUGGGUAUAGGGGCGAAAGACUAAUCGAACCAUCUAGUAGCUGGUUCCCUCCGAAGUUUCCCUCAGGAUAGCUGGCGCUCGUCGCCUACGAGUCUCAUCCGGUAAAGCGAAUGAUUAGAGGCAUUGGGGUCGAAACGGCCUCAACCUAUUCUCAAACUUUAAAUGGGUGAGAUCUCCGGCUUGCUCGAACUUAUGAAGCCGCGAGACACGGAUCAGAGUGCCAAGUGGGCCAUUUUUGGUAAGCAGAACUGGCGCUGUGGGAUGAACCAAACGCCGAGUUAAAGCGCCUAAAUCGACGCUUAUGGGAUACCAUGAAAGGCGUUGGUAACUUAAGACAGCAGGACGGUGGCCAUGGAAGUCGGAAUCCGCUAAG